CCUACGGGGGGCUGCAGUGGGGAAUAUUGGACAAUGGGCGCAAGCCUGAUCCAGCAAUGCCGCGUGUGUGAAGAAGGCCUGCGGGUUGUAAAGCACUUUAAGCAGGAAAGAAGGGGUGAAAGUUAAUACCUUUCAUCAUUGACGUUACCUGCAGAAUAAGCACCGGCUAACUCCGUGCCAGCAGCCGCGGUAAUACGGAGGGUGCGAGCGUUAAUCGGAAUUACGGGGGCGAAAUCGUGCGUCCGUGGUUAAAGCCCUGGGCUUAACCUGGGAACUGCGGUGGAUACUGUCGGGCUAGAGUGUGGUAGAGGGGAGUGGAAUUUCCGGUGUAGCAGUGAAAUGCGUAGAGAUCGGAAGGAACACCAGUGGCGAAGGCGGCUCCCUGGACUAACACUGACGCUGAGGUGCGAAAGCGUGGGGAGCAAACAGGAUUAGGUACCCCAGUAGUC
RNAcentral lists this ribosomal RNA (449 nucleotides) under uncultured bacterium. RNAcentral's name for it is "partial 16S ribosomal RNA". It matches the Rfam family "Bacterial small subunit ribosomal RNA", at positions 338 to 795 of the family's 1533-position model. The record is from RNAcentral.